AGAAGAAGAAGAAAGCGGAGCCGGAGGUGACCAGCAAGGGCACUGGCCCUAGUCGCGCAACAGCUGCUGCUGGCAAAGGUACUCUUCGCCUUCGUCAACGUGACUUGGAUGAUUAUGUGAUCAUCAGUGACUCAUAUGAAGGUUUAUCACAUGUAGCUAAGGGAAAAGCUGGUGCUGGUGGGUCGAAGAGUUCCGGGAGCGCGGGUUCUCGCAACCCUGAAGCUGGCGCGACUCCGUCUUUCCCAGAGGAUGAAGAGGUGGAAGAGGAAGAUGCUGCUGCUCGACUUAUUGGGCGGAAAAGGGGUAGGAGCGAGGCUACCACUGGUGUGGCUUCCGCGCCUCAAUCUGUUGUGAUCCCUACGAUAGGGAAGACGAGCAGGCUGCGCUCGUUGUAUCAAUUUUCUCCUGAGAUCAAGAAGAAGACCCCUGAAAAGGCGGUUACAUUCGUUGAGGCGGGG
Helianthus annuus (common sunflower) is the source of this 458-nucleotide long non-coding RNA. RefSeq lists it as uncharacterized. The record is from RefSeq and is a predicted model, not a curated record. Lineage: Eukaryota; Viridiplantae; Streptophyta; Magnoliopsida; Asterales; Asteraceae. The transcript has 2 exons.